Molecule: unclassified non-coding RNA, 377 nt
Filed under: uncultured Oligoflexaceae bacterium
Lineage: Bacteria; Pseudomonadati; Bdellovibrionota; Oligoflexia; Oligoflexales; Oligoflexaceae
Description: contains 16S-23S intergenic spacer region
Source: RNAcentral
UCCGGUUUGACACCGGCAGUCUCCCUAGAGUCCCCAACUUAAUGAUGGUAACUAAGGACAGGGGUUGCGCUCGUUUUUGGACUUAACCAGACAUCUUACGACACGAGCUGACGACAGCCAUGCAGCACCUAUCUCCAUGUCCCCGAAGGGAACGCCACAUCUCUGUGGUUGUCACGGGAUGUUAAGGGUAGGUAAGGUUCUGCGCGUUGCUUCGAAUUAAACCACAUACUCCACCGCUUGUGCGGGCCCCCGUCAAUUCCUUUGAGUUUUAGCCUUGCGACCGUACUCCCCAGGCGGGAUACUUAAUGCGUUAGCUUUAGUACUCAGGGGGUUAACUCCCCAAACACUUAGUAUCCAUAGUUUACGGCGUGGACUAC